AAGUCGUAACAAGGUUUCCGUAGGUGAACCAUUAACACGUAUCCAAACGUUGAAACCUUCCCCCCGUGAACCUUCAUCUGAUAAAUCAUAGCCCGGAAAGUUGUAGUGAUUCAGAGACCUCUGGCUACGUGCGAACAUUGGAACAGUUACAAUCGAGGCGUAGUUCUAUAGGCAAUGUUUCCCCAAGCAGUCAGUGUCGGAAAGUGUCAUUGAUUGUGCAAGGAUAGCGCUUCUACGAUUCCUGUAGACCGUACACUCGGGCAGGAGCUUUGCCAAAGUGUCCCCAUGCCCCCUAAUAACCCCACAGUUUAAUGUGAAGCUGUAAUACAUUGGGUAAAAAAACCGAACAACUGUUACAAUGGAUAUCUUGAUUCUC
This 376-nucleotide unclassified non-coding RNA is filed under the name fungal sp. RNAcentral describes it as "partial internal transcribed spacer region". The record is from RNAcentral. Lineage: Eukaryota; Fungi.